Molecule: ribosomal RNA, 460 nt
Filed under: Ferrimicrobium acidiphilum
Lineage: Bacteria; Bacillati; Actinomycetota; Acidimicrobiia; Acidimicrobiales; Acidimicrobiaceae
Description: bacterial SSU rRNA
Rfam family: Bacterial small subunit ribosomal RNA
Source: RNAcentral
CGUGAGCAACCUACCCCAGAGCUUGGAAUAUCACCGGGAAACCGAGUGCUAAUACCGAAUACUCUAAUUCGGCCGCAUGACUGAAUGAGGAAAGAUUUAUCACUCUGGGACGGGCUCGCGGCCUAUCAGCUUGUUGGUGAGGUAACGGCUCACCAAGGCUACGACGGGUAGCUGGUCUGAGAGGACGAUCAGCCACACUGGGACUGAGACACGGCCCAGACUCCUACGGGAGGCAGCAGUGGGGAAUAUUGCGCAAUGGGCGAAAGCCUGACGCAGCAACGCCGCGUGGAGGAUGAAGGCUUUCGGGUUGUAAACUCCUUUCAGCAGGGACGAAACUGACGGUACCUGCAGAAGAAGCCCCGGCUAACUACGUGCCAUCAGCCGCGGUGAUACGUACGGGGCAAGCCGUUGUCCGGAUUUAUUGGGCGUAAAGAGCUCGUAGGCGGCUUGGCAAGUCGGA